This 497-nucleotide ribosomal RNA is filed under the name uncultured bacterium. RNAcentral describes it as "partial 16S ribosomal RNA". It matches the Rfam family "Bacterial small subunit ribosomal RNA", at positions 28 to 507 of the family's 1533-position model. The record is from RNAcentral.
GAUGAACGCUGGCGGCGUGCCUAAUACAUGCAAGUCGAGCGAACAGAUGAGGAGCUUGCUCCUCUGACGUUAGCGGCGGACGGGUGAGUAACACGUGGAUAACCUACCUAUAAGACUGGGAUAACUUCGGGAAACCGGAGCUAAUACCGGAUAAUAUAUUGAACCGCAUGGUUCAAUAGUGAAAGACGGUUUUGCUGUCACUUAUAGAUGGAUCCGCGCCGCAUUAGCUAGUUGGUAAGGUAACGGCUUACCAAGGCAACGAUGCGUAGCCGACCUGAGAGGGUGAUCGGCCACACUGGAACUGAGACACGGUCCAGACUCCUACGGGAGGCAGCAGUAGGGAAUCUUCCGCAAUGGGCGAAAGCCUGACGGAGCAACGCCGCGUGAGUGAUGAAGGUCUUCGGAUCGUAAAACUCUGUUAUUAGGGAAGAACAAAUGUGUAAGUAACUAUGCACGUCUUGACGGUACCUAAUCAGAAAGCCACGGUUAACUACGUG